GUUUCAGUACAGCACUACAGGGAGAGACGGGUAGAGGGCAAACUCCACUAAACCCGUUUCAGUGUGUGGAAUCACUCGGGAGUUUCUGGAAGACGGCGAUUAUUGGAGGAUUUAUUUUAGUCUGGCCAGCACCGGACACAUGCAGCAGUGUUAUACCUCUCUUUUGGAUGAGGGUGACAUAUGGCUGGUGGACAUGGGAUCCAGAGUGACAGCUUCCUGUUUACAAGCUGCCCAGAGACUUCUGUAGUAGCAGGGGGUGUGUUAGAGAGACACUGCUUGGGCUGUUUUGAAGAGAACAGGGGACCUUGGGUACGACACAAUCUUGUUCCUUUUGGAUCUGGAGCAGAUCGAUAUGUCAGCCAUAACUCCGUUCUACCGCACCCGUGCGUAGAUGGACAAUGGAGGAUCCAUUGUUUUAUAACCCACUUAUCUGGACCAGAGUCCUGGCCUCUACCACCUUUGUGGGCCAGGCUUGUAAGAGUUGAGUUCACUAAGUUGGGUGACCUGCAAGAAGAGGCUUGGUGGAAAUCUGCCAGCAACAUGGUGGAGGUUUUCUCCAUAAAGUCCACCAGGCUGCUGCAGCAGGUGGUGGAAGGGGUCCGUGCUGCACCACCGAGAGCUGCUGCGGAGUAGGCGGUCCGAGGAGCCACCACGCCGGACACCGAGUGACCGACCACUUACCUGAGAGGCCUAUCAGUUGUAUUUGUCCCAUACCCGAUCCCCCAACGUUCAUGAAAGAACAACUUUUGUUUGAGCACCAGAAAUCGGUCUCCCACUGUCUUAUUUUAUUAGCGACAUACAGGAGCAGUUGGGUUUAAGUGCCAUGCUCAAGGGUACAGACAGAUUUUCCACCUACUCGGCUAAGGGAUUUGAACCAGUGACCACUCUAGUUAUGAGCCCAAUGCUCUUAACCACUAGUCUGCAAGGUCUUGUCUCAUUGCUGCAACUCCCCAACGGGCUCGGGAGAGGUGAACGUCGAGUCUUGUGUCCCCCGAAACAUGACCUGCCUAACCGCACUUCUUAACACGUGCCCGCUUAAACUACACCAAUGUGUGAGAGGAAACACUGUGCAACUGACGAACAUAGUCAGCCUGCAGAAACCCAGCCUGCCACAAGGAGACGCAAGAGUGCGAUGAGCCAAGUAAAAACCUCCCUGGCUAAACAUUCCCCUAACCCAGACGACGCUUGCUCAAUUGUGCAUCGCCCUGUGGGACUCCCGGUCAAGGCCGGUUGUGACAUUGGCUGGGAUUGAACACAGAACAGUGAAAACUGGCUCUAACCAGAAUAGAAAGAGGAGUGGGAGACCCCAGUAAACAACUGAGCAAGAGAACAAGUACAUUAGAGUGUCUAGUUUGAAAAACAGACACCUCACAAGUCCUCAACUGGCAGCUUCAUUAAAUAAUACCCGCAAAACACCAGUCUCAUCGUCAACAGUGAAGAGGCGACUCCCGGGAUGCCGGCCUUCUAGGCAGAGUUCCUCUGUCCAGUGUCUGUGUUAUUUUGCCCAUCUUUUAUAAGAUAUGUCUAAGAUCUUUUAUUUUUAUUGGCCAGGUCUGAGAUAAGGCUUUUUCUUUGAAACUCUGCCUGGAAGGCCAGCAUCCUGGAAUACGAUAGAUACUCAAAGGCGUCGACUGCAUUCCUAAGGUGGAGACGAGGUUGGAAAUAGUGUGUGGGGUUGUUGCAUUUUACAGUUAUUACAUUUUACUGUUGUUAUUACAUUUUACUGUUGUUAUUACAUUUUACUGUUGUUAUUACAUUUUACUGUUGUUAUUGCAUUUUACUGUUGUUAAUACAUUUUACUGUUGUUAAUACAUUUUACUGUUGUUAAUACAUUUUACUGUUGUUAUUACAUUUUACUGUUGUUAUUGCAUUUUACUGUUGUUAAUACAUUUUACUGUUGUUAUUACAUUUUACUGUUGCUAUUGCAUUUUACUGUUGUUAAUACAUUUUACUGUUGUUAUUGCAUUUUACUGUUGUUAUUACAAUGUAUAUGGCCCUAAUGGCACCCUAUUCCCUAUAUAGUACACUGGCCCUGGUCAAAAUUUGUGCACUACAUAUAGGGAAUAGGGUGCCAUAGGGCUCUGGUCAAAAGUAGUGCACUAUAUAGGGAAUAGGGUGCCAUAGGGACCCCUGGUUCCAAUCCAUGCAACAGAUGGGAGGAAUAUGACAAUUUAAUGUGGAAUUGGCAUGAUCAACUCAAUAGUCGGUAGUAAUAUAAAUUAUUCAGUUACAGGGUUCAAAAGGUGAAAAGGAAGAACUGUACUCACUGAAAUAAAAUACAUUUUCAUGAA
RNAcentral lists this long non-coding RNA (2291 nucleotides) under Salmo salar (Atlantic salmon). RNAcentral describes it as "lncRNA (ENSSSAG00000088673.1)". The record is from RNAcentral. Lineage: Eukaryota; Metazoa; Chordata; Actinopteri; Salmoniformes; Salmonidae.